This 231-nucleotide ribosomal RNA is filed under the name uncultured bacterium. Its description in RNAcentral is "partial 16S ribosomal RNA". It matches the Rfam family "Bacterial small subunit ribosomal RNA", at positions 105 to 334 of the family's 1533-position model. The record is from RNAcentral.
CGGUGAGUAACGCGUGGGUAACCGUGCCUCACACAGGGGAGUAACAGUUGGAAACGGCUGCUAAUACCGCAUAAGCGCACAGUACCGCAUGGUACAGUGUGAAAAACUCCGGUGGUGUGAGAUGGACCCGCGUCUGAUUAGCUAGUUGGCAGGGUAACGGCCUACCAAGGCGACGAUCAGUAGCCGACCUGAGAGGGUGACCGGCCACAUUGGGACUGAGACACGGCCCAA